CAGUCAUCACACAUACAAGUAGAGCGGUAGCAGAAAGUAGCUUAUUAGUUUUCUAACGAGCGGCGGACGAGUAAUUAAUACUAAUGUACAUACUAUGAGGGGGGGGACACACAGUUGGAAAGUAUUAAUUAAUGCAUGCAUACAUGUCUGGAGAACCAAAGCAGUUUUCGGCUCUCGCUUUUAGAUGAGCCCAAGUGGGAUUAGCUAGAUGGUGAGGUAAAGGCUCACCAAGGCGACGAUCCCUAGCUGGUUUGAGAGGAUGAUCAGCCACACUGGGACUGAGACACGGCCCAGACUCCUACGGGAGGCAGCAGUGGGGAAUAUUGCACAAUGGGGGCAACCCUGAUCCAGCCAUGCCGCGUGUGUGAAGAAGGCCUUCGGGUUGUAAAGCACUUUCAGCCAGGAGGAAAGCUCCUCGGUUAAUACCCGUGAGCU
This 435-nucleotide ribosomal RNA is filed under the name Pseudoalteromonas sp. 'Disko Bay 223'. RNAcentral describes it as "bacterial SSU rRNA". It matches the Rfam family "Bacterial small subunit ribosomal RNA", at positions 43 to 470 of the family's 1533-position model. Lineage: Bacteria; Pseudomonadati; Pseudomonadota; Gammaproteobacteria; Alteromonadales; Pseudoalteromonadaceae. The record is from RNAcentral.